AGUGAACGCUGGCGGCGUGCCUAAUACAUGCAAGUCGAACGAAGUGGCGCACGGGUGAGUAAUAUAUAGUUAAUCUGCCCUACACAGAGGAACAACAGUUGGAAACGACUGCUAAUACCUCAUAGUGUAGGAUGAGACUAUAUCGUAUCAGCUAGUUGGUAAGGUAAUGGCUUACCAAGGGUAUGACGCGUAACUGGUCGGAGAGGAUGAUAAGGAAAAUUUGAAUUGAGACACCGUCCAAACUCCUAAGGGAGUGAGCAGUAAGGAAUAGUGCGCAAUGGGUGAAACACGUAAGCAGCAACGCCGCGUGGAGGAUGACAAUUUUCGGAGCGGAAACUCCUUUUAUCAGGAAAGCGGUACCUGAUGAAGAAGCACCGGCUAACUCCGUGCCAGCCGCCGCGGUAAUAC
Molecule: ribosomal RNA, 408 nt
Filed under: uncultured bacterium
Lineage: Bacteria
Description: partial 16S ribosomal RNA
Rfam family: Bacterial small subunit ribosomal RNA
Source: RNAcentral